This 301-nucleotide ribosomal RNA is filed under the name uncultured bacterium. Its description in RNAcentral is "partial 16S ribosomal RNA". It matches the Rfam family "Bacterial small subunit ribosomal RNA", at positions 509 to 807 of the family's 1533-position model. The record is from RNAcentral.
CAGUAGCCGCGGUAAUACGUAGGUGGCAAGCGUUGUCCGGAAUUAUUGGGCGUAAAGCGCGCGCAGGUGGUUUAAUAAGUCUGAUGUGAAAGCCCACGGCUCAACCGUGGAGGGUCAUUGGAAACUGUUAAACUUGAGUGCAGGAGAGAAAAGUGGAAUUCCUAGUGUAGCGGUGAAAUGCGUAGAGAUUAGGAGGAACACCAGUGGCGAAGGCGGCUUUUUGGCCUGUAACUGACACUGAGGCGCGAAAGCGUGGGGAGCAAACAGGAUUAGAGACCCCGGUAGUCCCUGUCUCUUAUAC